UUUAAUUCAUAUAAAUACGAUAUUAAUGAUUCAAAAAUCAUUUUAAAUGAUACUAAUUAUCUGAAAAUUAUUACGAGUUUAGGAAAAUUAUUUUGAUUGAUAAUAUAAUUAUCUAAGAUAAUUGUUGAGUGUUUAGGCAGAGUUUAAUGGAACUUAAACUCAAUAUUUAUCCGACUAGGCCAUCGGGAUGUCAGAAUUGUACCGAACUUAACUCAGACUAUAAAAGUUUGACUUGAGGUUAAGUCUUAUGUGUGUUAUAGACGGAUAUGAUUAUGUGAUAAUGUGUUUAGGUUAUUUUAAAUAUUGUAAUAAUAUUAUUCUAAUUUGUAUAUCAAUAUUAUUUAUAUAUUAGGUCUUCAGACAAAGCUUAUUAAAAUGUGUAACGAUAAUCAACGAAACAGGCAAGUUUUUCUUAACUCGACCUCGAGUUGUAUUUUUCAAUUAUACUUGUGGUUAAUCAUUUCUGAUUGCCAUGUUUAAGAAUUAUUAAAUCGCACUCUGUGCAUACUGCAUGUAUUCAUCAGGUAUGAAAGGAUGAUCACCUUCAUUACCAUUCAGUCCAGAUAUAUAUAUGUUCAUGUUCAAAGUUCAUUCAGGUAUAUAAAUUUGUUCAUGCUAGUUCGCAAUUAUAUUGUAGAACUAUAGCCAGCUUUUGUUCAAUUCUUUCAAUCAUGAUAUAUCCUUAAUUUAUUGAGCUUAAACUUACUGGGAAAACUUAUUGCUCACCCUUGCUAUAUCAUGACAAACAUUGCAGAUUUAGGCAAAUACGUUCGGAUACAGGAAAGGACAAAGCCAAGUUUAGCUUGGGAUAAUAUGUACAGAUAAUUGUAAUAGUAUAGUAGGAUAAUAAUGUUAUAUGUUAGACAGGUUAUGAAUUGUGUAUAAGUUAAGGUUACUCGACCUUGGGGAAUAGUGUGUAAAGUUUAUUGUAUAAGCAAUUUAUGUUUAUAUCUUUCGCAAUAGUUUUAAACGAAUUGUAUCAGAUCCGUGGUGAUUUGGGACACAGAUUUGGGGCUCUCACACUUAAUAUCCUGCAACAAGAAUAAAAACUCAUCAAAAGAAACAUGAAAUACUCAAAAACUAACAAAAUCUCAACCUAAAUAAAGAUAAAUCGUAGGUUAAAAACCUACUCAUCAAUCCUCACCUCUUCGACAUACCAGGUACGUACAUCAAUUUUGAGGACAAAAUUUCAUAAGGAGGGGAGGUUGUAAGACCCCAACUUUUUAUGAAUAAAGAUUUAAUUUCUCUAAUUAUUAUUUUGAAUAAUAAGGUGUUGAUUUGAUAUAAUGCUUUAGUUAUAGGUGAAAUGUGCAAAUUUUGCAAAGUAAGCAAGUUGUCAUAAAAUAUUUGUUUGGUGGGGGAAUUUUCUUUUUGUCAGGAAUAUCUAUACGACGGCAUAAUCAUUGGUGGACCACAUAAUAGAAUAACUGUCGGAUAUUGAAAGUGAUAGAAAAAACAUUUUUAUAAAAAAUAACGACAAAACUUUUACCGUUAAUUUGUUGAAAUACUUGGUGAUAAAAGUACAGUAAUACACGUGGUUGCACAGUAGCACACGGUAUUGCACAGUAUCUCUGAUUAUUGAUUCUUACGUAAGAAGGCAAUCAAUAAUUGAUACAGUAAAAUUGAAUAGUCUUUCAUAUUAUUGAUUCAAUACAGUAUCUCUUUUCUUUGUCCAACUUAUUUUUUAUGAAUCUUAUCCUUGAAAUUGAAUCCAUGUUAUGAACUCACUUGAUUCAUUCUUUAUGUCAUUGUCAUAAUUCUCAGACUUAAAUUAUGUUGAAAGUUAUCUUUGGCUCGUAGUGAAAAGAUAAACUGUUGAUUGAUAUCUCUGGCUCGUAGUGCAAAUAUGAAUUGUUGAUUGAUAUCUUUGGCCUAUUGUGCAAAGAUAGACAGAUGUUUGACAUGAUCAUGACCACUGGUGAUACAAACAAUUAUCUUUGGCCCGUAGUGCAUAGAUAAUUCGUUGUUUGGAAAUAAUUAUUGGUAGAUGUUACAGGAAUAAAAUAUUGAUGAUGGACUGUUAAAAUCAUAAGAAGAUAGUAGACAUCAUGCUCUACUUGACUCUUCUAAUGGAUUGUUGUUUCCGCUGCAGUUGUUGAUCUAAAAUUUGUUGUCUAUUGUAUUAUAGUAGAUUUUUCCCUGUUGAAAACUAAGGAUAAUUUGUUCUUUAUUAUCUUAGUCAUAAUGUUCUUUACUGGACUAUUUGAACUCACCCUUUUCCUUUUGGUUCCAUUGUUCUUCUCAGGAGGCGAGAAUAUAGCUGGGACUAGUCGGGGAGUGGAGUAAUGAUUCAAGAUGGUUAUUAUAGCAGUCCUCAUUAUUUUGUAAAAUAGUGUAAAAAUAAUUGUAAUGAGGACUUUAUUUGAGUUUGGAUAUUGUCUAUAAGACAAUAUUUGUAUUAAACUCACAUCAUAUGUGUUGUCCUAUUUUGCACGACAGUUGUAUUAAUGAAGU
RNAcentral lists this long non-coding RNA (2454 nucleotides) under Panax ginseng (ginseng). Its description in RNAcentral is "long non-coding RNA (PGIN_LNC003675)". Lineage: Eukaryota; Viridiplantae; Streptophyta; Magnoliopsida; Apiales; Araliaceae. The record is from RNAcentral.